RNAcentral lists this long non-coding RNA (404 nucleotides) under Brassica rapa (field mustard). Its description in RNAcentral is "long non-coding RNA (BRAP_LNC005957)". The record is from RNAcentral. Lineage: Eukaryota; Viridiplantae; Streptophyta; Magnoliopsida; Brassicales; Brassicaceae.
CCUGAUGUACAUGAGCAUUUAAAUUGGCUGCUGCGAUUGAAGAAUACGUAUAUUAACAUAUGAAAUUAUUGAGCCUCAGGAUAAUAUCCACAAUAUAAUCCAUACCGCCAAAAGUAUGUAUGUCCCAUGCAUAAUUGAACAAAAAGAAAAGUUUAUUAAUAUUUUGUUGUUGUCUUCUGCAAAUGCUAGUACUGCUAGUCUGCUAUCAUUAUCAUCAUUGAUAUUCCAGAAAAAAUAAAUAAAAUAAAUAUAAAGAAAAAACAAACAAACACAAUAAGUAAAGCUACACUAUUAGGUAAUAAUUAAAGACAUUUUAAGGCUAAAACUUAGUUAUAAAAUACACGAACAUUAAAAGGCCAAGACCAAGGAAACAUAAAUGCUUUUUACUUUCAUCAAUGUCAAAA